GAUGAACGCUAGCUACAGGCUUAACACAUGCAAGUCGAGGGGCAGCAUGGUCUUAGCUUGCUAAGACUGAUGGCGACCGGCGCACGGGUGAGUAACGCGUAUCCAACCUUCCCCUUAGUAGGGCAUAGCCCGGCGAAAGUCGGAUUAAUACCCUAUGUUGUUCGCCGCGGACAUCUAACGUGAACCAAAGGUUUACCGCUAAGGGAUGGGGAUGCGUCUGAUUAGGUUGCAGGCGGGGUAACGGCCCACCUGGCCGACGAUCAGUAGGGGUUCUGAGAGGAAGGUCCCCCACAUUGGAACUGAGACACGGUCCAAACUCC
This 320-nucleotide ribosomal RNA is filed under the name uncultured Prevotella sp. RNAcentral's name for it is "bacterial SSU rRNA". It matches the Rfam family "Bacterial small subunit ribosomal RNA", at positions 28 to 339 of the family's 1533-position model. Lineage: Bacteria; Pseudomonadati; Bacteroidota; Bacteroidia; Bacteroidales; Prevotellaceae. The record is from RNAcentral.